RNAcentral lists this ribosomal RNA (381 nucleotides) under uncultured bacterium. RNAcentral's name for it is "bacterial SSU rRNA". It matches the Rfam family "Bacterial small subunit ribosomal RNA", at positions 524 to 902 of the family's 1533-position model. The record is from RNAcentral.
UACGUAGGGUGCGAGCGUUAAUCGGAAUUACUGGGCGUAAAGCGUGCGCAGGCGGUUUUUUAAGCCAGAUGUGAAAUCCCCGGGCUCAACCUGGGAACUGCAUUUGGAACUGGAAGACUAGAGUAUAGCAGAGGGGGGUAGAAUUCCACGUGUAGCAGUGAAAUGCGUAGAUAUGUGGAGGAAUACCAAUGGCGAAGGCAGCCCCCUGGGUUAAUACUGACGCUCAUGCACGAAAGCGUGGGGAGCAAACAGGGAUUAGAUACCCUGGUAGUCCACGCCCUAAACGAUGUCAACUAGGUGUUGGGGGAGGAGACUUCCUUAGUACCGCAGCUAACGCGUGAAGUUGACCGCCUGGGGAGUACGGUCGCAAGAUUAAAACUC